CACAUGCAGUCGAACGAUAGAAGAGUGCUUGCAUUCUUCGAAAGUGGCGCACGGGUGCGUAACGCGUAUGCAACCUACCUUAAUCAGGGGGAUAGCCCGAAGAAAUUCGGAUUAACACCGCAUAAAAUCACAGUACAGCAUUGUACAAUGAUCAAAUAUUUAUAGGAUUAAGAUGGGCAUGCGUGACAUUAGUUAGUUGGCGGGGUAACGGCCCACCAAGACCACGAUGUCUAGGGGAUCUGAGAGGAUGACCCCCCACACUGGUACUGAGACACGGACCAGACUCCUACGGGAGGCAGCAGUAAGGAAUAUUGGUCAAUGGAGGCAACUCUGAACCAGCCAUGCCGCGUGCAGGAAGACAGCCCUCUGGGUCGUAAACUGCUUUUAUUCGGGAAUAAACCUACUUACGUGUAAGUAGCUGAAUGUACCGAAGGAAUAAGGAUCGGCUAACUCCGUGCCAGCAGCCGCGGUAAUACGGAGGAUCCAAGCGUUAUCCGGAUUUAUUGGGUUUAAAGGGUGCGUAGGCGGCUUUUUAAGUCAGGGGUGAAAGACGGUAGCUCAACUAUCGCAGUGCCCUUGAUACUGAAGAGCUUGAAUGGACUAGAGGUA
This 609-nucleotide ribosomal RNA is filed under the name bacterium amp-w-79. RNAcentral's name for it is "bacterial SSU rRNA". It matches the Rfam family "Bacterial small subunit ribosomal RNA", at positions 52 to 659 of the family's 1533-position model. The record is from RNAcentral.